This 553-nucleotide ribosomal RNA is filed under the name uncultured bacterium. RNAcentral's name for it is "bacterial SSU rRNA". It matches the Rfam family "Bacterial small subunit ribosomal RNA", at positions 339 to 906 of the family's 1533-position model. The record is from RNAcentral.
CUACGGGAGGCAGCAGUGGGGAAUUUUCCGCAAUGGGCGAAAGCCUGACGGAGCAACGCCGCGUGAGGGAUGAAGGCCUCUGGGCUGUAAACCUCUUUUAUCAAGGAAGAAGAUCUGACGGUACUUGAUGAAUAAGCCACGGCUAAUUCCGUGCCAGCAGCCGCGGUAAUACGGGAGUGGCAAGCGUUAUCCGGAAUUAUUGGGCGUAAAGCGUCCGCAGGCGGUCUGUCAAGUCUGCUGUUAAAGCGUGGAGCUUAACUCCAUUUCGGUAGUGGAAACUGACAGACUAGAGUGUGGUAGGGGCAGAGGGAAUUCCCGGUGUAGCGGUGAAAUGCGUAGAUAUCGGGAAGAACACCAGUGGCGAAGGCGCUCUGCUGGGCCAUAACUGACGCUCAUGGACGAAAGCCAGGGGAGCGAAAGGGAUUAGAUACCCCUGUAGUCCUGGCCGUAAACGAUGAACACUAGGUGUCGGGGGAAUCGACCCCCUCGGUGUCGUAGCCAACGCGUUAAGUGUUCCGCCUGGGGAGUACGCACGCAAGUGUGAAACUCAAAG